CCUACGGGUGGCAGCAGUGGGGAAUUUUGGACAAUGGGCGCAAGCCUGAUCCAGCUAUUCCGCGUGUGGGAUGACGGCCCUCGGGUUGUAAACCACUUUAGUAGAGAACGAAAAGGAGCUAUCGAAUAAAUAGCUAUGCGGACGGUACUCUAAGAAUAAGCACCGGCUAACUACGUGCCAGCAGCCGGGGUAAUACGUAGGGUGCGAGCGUUAAACGGAAUUACUGGGCGUAAAGGGGGUGCAGGCGGCUUAGUAAGACAGUUGUUAAAUCCCCGGGCUUAAACUGGGAACCGCAUAUGGGACUGCUUGGCUAGAGUGCGUCAGAGGGAGGUGGAAUGCCACGUGUAGCAGUGAAAUGCGUAGAUAUGUGGAAGAACCCCGAUGGCGAAGGCAGCCUCCUGGGACGCAACUGACGCUCAUACACGAAAGCGUGGGGAGCAAACAGGAUUAGAUACCCCGGUAGUC
RNAcentral lists this ribosomal RNA (465 nucleotides) under uncultured bacterium. RNAcentral's name for it is "partial 16S ribosomal RNA". It matches the Rfam family "Bacterial small subunit ribosomal RNA", at positions 338 to 795 of the family's 1533-position model. The record is from RNAcentral.